Molecule: ribosomal RNA, 253 nt
Filed under: uncultured bacterium
Lineage: Bacteria
Description: partial 16S ribosomal RNA
Rfam family: Bacterial small subunit ribosomal RNA
Source: RNAcentral
GACGUAGGGGGCCAGCGUUGUUCGGAAUUACUGGGUGUAAAGGGUUCGUAGGCGGUGCGGCAAGUUGGGAGUGAAAUCUCUGGGCUUAACCCAGAGGCCGCUUCCGAAACUGCUGUGCUUGAGUGUGGGAGAGGCGCGUGGAAUUGCAGGUGUAGCGGUGAAAUGCGUAGAUAUCUGGAGGAACACCGGUGGCGAAGGCGGCAUCCUGGACCGGUAUUGACGCUGAGGCGCGAAAGCCAGGGGAGCAAACGGG